UAUGAAAUAAUUGGAAUAUGUUUUAUGCUACAUAUGCCAUGUAACAUAUCUCUGUAACUGUUAUGAUCUACUGAACAUAUUCACUCUAUUUGUAUGCAUGCAUCAUUUUUGUACUCGAAGUUAUGAAUAUUAUCUGUGUACUUGCUUGAUUUCUAAG
This is a long non-coding RNA of Dermochelys coriacea (leatherback sea turtle), 157 nucleotides long. RefSeq lists it as uncharacterized. The record is from RefSeq and is a predicted model, not a curated record. NCBI's taxonomy places the organism in Eukaryota, Metazoa, Chordata, Testudines, Dermochelyidae. The transcript is spliced from 3 exons.